AACGAACGCUGGCGGCGCGCCUAAUACAUGCAAGUCGAGCGAGAAGACGUAGCAAUACGUUUGUAAAGCGGCGAACGGGUGAGGAAUGCAUGGGGUAACCUACCCUCGAGUGGGGAAGUAACUAGCCGAAGGUUAGCUAAUACCGCGUACGCUCCUUGGACUUCGGUUCAGGGAGGAAAGCGAUACCGUGGGUAGUCGCGCUCUUGGAUGGGCUCAUGUCCUAUCAGCUUGUUGGUGAGGUAACGGCUCACCAAGGCUUCGACGGGUAGCUGGUCUGAGAGGACGAUCAGCCACACUGGCACUGCGACACGGGCCAGACUCCUACGGGAGGCAGCAGUAAGGAAUAUUGCGCAAUGGGCGAAAGCCUGACGCAGCGACGCCGCGUGGGGGAGUGAA
Molecule: ribosomal RNA, 396 nt
Filed under: uncultured bacterium
Lineage: Bacteria
Description: bacterial SSU rRNA
Rfam family: Bacterial small subunit ribosomal RNA
Source: RNAcentral